This 497-nucleotide ribosomal RNA is filed under the name uncultured bacterium. RNAcentral describes it as "partial 16S ribosomal RNA". It matches the Rfam family "Bacterial small subunit ribosomal RNA", at positions 29 to 507 of the family's 1533-position model. The record is from RNAcentral.
UAUUAACUCUGGCGGCGUGCCUAAUACGUGCAAGUCGAACGAACAAAUGAGGAGCUUGCUCCUCUGACGUUAGCUGCGGACGGGUGAGUAACACGUAGGUAACCUACCUAUAAGACUGGGAUAACUUCGGGAAACCGUAGCUAAUACCGGAUAAUAUAUUAAAACGCAUGGUUCAAUAUUGAAAGACGGUUUUGCUGUCACUUAUAAUUGGAUCCGGUCCGCAUUACCUAUUUGGUAAGUUAACGGCUUCCCAGGCCACCGAUCAUUAGCCACCCGGGAGGGGUGACGGCCACAAUUGGAAUUGAGAACCGGCCCAGCUUCCUCGGGGAGGAAGAAGUAGGGAAUCUUGCGAAAUGGGCGAAAGCUUGACGGAGAAAGGCGGCGUGAGUGAUGAAGGUCUUCGGAUCGUAAAACUCUGUUAUAAGGGAAGAAGAAAUGUGUAAGUAACUAUGCACGUCUUGACGGUACCUAAUCAGAAAGCCACGGCUAACUACGUG